RNAcentral lists this long non-coding RNA (22352 nucleotides) under Nicotiana tabacum (common tobacco). RNAcentral's name for it is "long non-coding RNA (NTAB_LNC002027)". Lineage: Eukaryota; Viridiplantae; Streptophyta; Magnoliopsida; Solanales; Solanaceae. The record is from RNAcentral.
UUUUUUUUUUUCUGUGUAACCAUAUCUUGACUAAAAAUAAAAUUUAUUAAGUGCAUGUAAUAUCAAUCUUACUACAGAAACUAUUAAAUUGAGAAAGUAAAGACUGAUAUUUAUGAUGAGUUAUGAUAAUUGUUUGGAUGGUGGAGCUGGCCAUAGCAAAAAGGCAAAAUAAAAAAGAUAAGGUGGGUUAGCGAAUGUUUUGUUGUAGUCAAUGCAAUAAGUUUUUGGCUAUAACUUGCAAUCAAAUAUAAUGGGCUAGAGGUUGUCUUAAGUUUGUGUCGAACGACCAAUUAUGUCAAAACCUCAAGAAUAGGGGGCAAGUGCACAUAUAUGCAUUCUCAGGGAUGCUAUUUAGAGAAUAACCAGUAUUUAUUUUUGUCUUGAAAUUAUAAACUAAAUAUCUUAAAUUCUGUACAAUUCAGGACAUAUUGUCCUGAAAAUUGAAACUGAAAAAGUGAAAUUCAAGAUGCACUGGCUAGUUCCUAAAUAACAGCCCUUUAAAGUGGCUACUUGGUGUCAUUUCUACCUUAUGAGUUAUGAUCAAUGGAACUAAUUACCAGGCCUAACCCAAAUCAAAAUAGAAACUGGGCGCGGACUGGGCAUGUGUGUCCCAAUAGCAGGCCCAAUAUAUACAGUUGAGAGAAGAAUAGCUAACUCAUAAUUAAUGAAUUAAACAACAAAUCCAGUAUAAUUCCACGAGUGGAGUCUGGGGAAGGUAGUGUGUACACAGACCUUGCCCCUACCUUGUGAAGGUAGAGAGGUUGUUUCCGAUAAACCCUCGGCUAAAGAAACACUAAACAAGAAGCGAGCAACAGUAACGACACAAGAAAAAAAUAAAGACAUUAUGUGUAACAAAGAUCUAAAAAUAAGAAAUACAAGAAUACUACUAACAAUACUGGUAAGAAUGACACAAUAUGGAAUAACAAAGUUCAAGGAAUAAUGAAUUAAAAGAAACAUGUAAAAAAUUAAACUUGUAAACUGAGUUGUACUAUAGAGCAUUAGGAGAAAUUAAAGUCUCCACAUAUGCUAGUGUAACAUAUUCAGAGUUGGGGCCUAUAAACAGAUCAACUUUAACUUCUUCAAGCCCAUCAACUUCAACUUCUUCAAACUUUUGUCUUUUUGAAUCAUAAACCUCAAACACAAACUCAUUAUAUGUAUUCUCCAAAAUCAAUAUAUCUCCAUCCUUAUUAAAAACCAAAGGGCUGGUCCAAGCUAUGUCACACAGGUGAGGUCCAAACUUUGUAAUUGCUAAUAUUUUACUCCAUCAGCUGCUCAUUCCAUUCUUUUCCAUACAAUACCAAACUUGCCAAGUUUGCAUCUCAUUAAUAUGGUUCGUAUAGAUAGCCAAAAUGUUGUCUCCCACAGUAAAUAGAUCUGUCCCAUCUGGAUAUAAUAUUUCUCCAAAAUUUUCAUUUUUCAAACACAUACAUUGAAUAAUACACUUCUUGUGGGCAUGCUCAAACGUGAUCAUAUAAAUAAAUCCGUCAUCUACAACCAUUUCUCGCCUAAAGUCAUUGCACCGAGGUAACUUGCCAAUCAGUUUCCACGAGUUAGUUUUAGUCGAAAAUACUUGAACAUAAUAGCCAUCUGAUAUUGUACUUACAACUCUAACUAUUUUGUAAUCCUGGAAAGAAGAAACAUGGCCUAAACCAUAGUAACUCGUAUGCCAAUUCGCAACAGAGAUUGGACCAGGGAUUAUUCUUGAUCCUCUGAUGGUCGGGUUCCACAAAACAAUUAUGUCAGAAGAGAAGCAUAGAAGAAAUAAACCAUUGCAAGAAUUCACAAAUACAAACUCAUUCGCAAAUACUCCUUCCAAUGUUAGUUCGAGUGCUGGGAGAGGAAGCUCAAGAACAGAGACAACAGAAUCAUGUUGAAGUGGAGCAUCUAUGGAGUAGCAGUCUUGGUAACACGACCUGUACCAGCAAGUAUCAAAGUUUAAGCAGAAGAGAUGAAUUGAGAGUUCAACAAUGGAGGAUCGAAUGUUCUAGAGAGUCGGUGGAGAGAAUUUUCACUCUCAUUUUCAUCUGAUAUGUUUGUACACAAUACAAUGCUUAUAUAGAAGAUGACUACUACUCACUAACUAACAAUUACACAGGUAAGCUCGACAUAAUUAACUAUAUUGUCAACCCACUAACCGUCUAACUAACCAAUCCAAUUGACAGCUAACUGCCAGCUAACUACCUCACACAAGUUGCACGUGUUAUGUGACACUUCCACUCUCAAUACUCCCCCUCAAGCUGGAGGGUGCGAAUACAUUUAGCAUCCCCAACUUGGAUAUUAGAUAUUCAUGUUGUUGCCUUGGUAAUGCCUUGGUCACACAUCUGCCAGCUGAUCCCUUGAGCACACAUGCACAGUCUUAAUUGCUCCUAACUGUAUUUUUUCUCUGAUGAAUUGAUAAUCGAUCUCGAUAUGCUUAGUUCUCUCGUGAUACACAGGAUUGGCCGCUAUCUGCAAAGCUGCCUUGCUAUCACUAAGUUUGUUUACUGGUAGUUCCACUUCUGCUCCCAGCUCCUUGUACAAAUUUAUCAGCCAAACCAGUUCUGAUACAACUGAUGCCAUACUCAUGUACUCUACUUCUGCAGAACUCUUUAACACAGUGUCAUGCUUCUUGGAUUUCCAUGAUAUUAAUGAUUCCCCAUGCUUCACAAUGAAUCUUGUCACUGACCUUCUCGUAUUUGGGCAUGAAGCCCAAUCGGCAUCACAAAGGGCAGUCAACUUAUUUUCUCUUUUGCUCCUCAUCAAUACUCUUAUUCCUAGAUCCCUCUUCACAUAUCUUACUAUCCUCAGUGUUGCUUCCCAGUGUGACUACUUUGGCUCUUGUAGGAACUGACUAAGUGUCUGAACUGAGAAUGCAAUAUCCAACCUGGUUAGAGUCAAGUAUAAUAGCUUUCCUAUGAGUCUUUGGUAUUUUUCUCUAUCUACCAAAGGCUCAUCAUCUUGUAACCCUGUCAAUGCAUCCAACUAACUGUCUAGUAGUGAAUUUCUAAUUACUAUCAAGAGGAGUUCAGCUUGGUUUUCCAGCACUCAGGUCUAUGUCUGAUAUGAGUUCCAGGGCAUAUUUGCUUUGGUUCAUCAAUAUCCCCUUGUGUGAUCUAGAGAAUUCAAUCACCAGAAAGUACCUUAGUUCCCCUAGAUCUUUAAUUUUGAAUGACUGAUGCAACUGCCUUUUAGUAUCUUCAAUCAUUUGCAAGUUGUUGCCUGUAACUAGCAUAUUAUCUACAUAUACUAGAAUGACCACAAUGUUGCUUCCCUGCUUCUUUGUAAACAAUAAGUAGUCCAAACAGCUUUGAGUGAACCCAUGUUGGAUCAAUGCUUCAGUCAGCUUCACAUUCCAUUGUCUACUCGCUUGCUUUAGGCCAUAUAGGGAUUUAACCGGCCUUUACACUCCCCCUGGCUGGUAAAGCCCUCAGGUAGGUCCAUGUAUACUUCACCAUGCAGGUCUCCUUGGAGGAAGGCGUUGUCACGACCCAAACCGUAGGGCCGCGACGAGCACCCGAUGACUACAUCAACCGAGUACCAACGUAUCAUUCUUAUCAUCAUAGGUAAGUGGGUCAGAAGGGGCGUCAUGAGAUAAACAUGAGGGAAUACCCGACAUAGAACGACCAAACCUGAUAUAAAAACUUAUACACGUGACAUACGGGCCUAUAAGGCCAACAUGAUCAUUUAUAAACUCAAAACAUAGGCCGACAACGCCAUACAAGUAUCCGUACACACGACAUCUGUCUACAAACCUCUAAGAAUACAUAAUUGACAUAAAGGUCGGGACAGAGCUCUGGCAUACCAAUCAAUACAUGUCCUAAUCAUACUGACCAAAUAGCAACUCCGGAGCAAAUGGAGCGCACCAACAUCUUCCACUGAGCUGAUAGCCUACUUGAAGGGCUCUCAACAUGUCUAUCGGGACCUGCGGGCAUGAAACGCAGCGUCCCUAGGCAAAGGGACGUCAGUACAAAUAAUGUACCAAGUAUGUAAGGAAUGAAAUCAGUAAAUAAUAGACAUGAGAGAAACAUGGACUAAAAGACUCAACAUGUAAGUCUGAAUAACUCUGUGAAUCAUUAUUAUUUACAAUGUCAUGCAUAUGUGUAUAAAUGGCAUACCAUACUUAGGUAUAUGCGUUCAUAACAUCAUCAAGCCUCUGAGGGCAUCCCAUCAUAUCAUCUCAACCAUUGUGGGCAAAUCAUCAACGUAUACCAGUUGAUCAGGUGGUGGUGCAUAUAUAACGUCGUAACAUUUUCCAAUAUCACAUAUACAUAUAUACGCGUAUAUAACGACAUUUGGUCAUGGGUCAAUGUAAAUGAAUGCAAUGCAUGAGAAUUACGUCAAUAAAAUCUCUCGAAAUGUCAUAAGACCAUUUGAUUAAUAUCGUGAAAUAAACUUUAUCAACUUACGUAAUUUCUGAGACCCAUGAACAGAUGAUAGAAUAAUAAGACACAUGGGGAAUCAAGAAUAUAGACACCCCUAGUAUUUCUAUGAAUAGAAUCGUUUAUGAAAGUUGCGUAUUUUGCUCGUUUCAUUUGUAUCAUGCCAAAAAGAAAGAAGGGAUAGCCUUAACAUACCUUUGCAAUCUUCUCUCCAAUCGUCAACAUGAUCUUCUUACGUCUACAAUGAGUAACCCAACUUCGUCGUCAUCAUAUAAGCAUUGUAACUCUCAUAUUUCAAAAUCAAUAUUCUACAAGAAAACGAACAACACCUCCCCUGUUUUUACUACAUCCCGUAAGUUACUAAAAUUCACCAAACAGCCCAAACAAUAACAAUAUAAUUCAUAAUAAGCUCUCUGAUUACUUAACAACCAUUUUGAGCGGCAAGCUCGAUUUACAAAAAAUAUAAUUUAAUCUAAUUCAUUUUCCAUGAAUCUGCCUACAACUUGUAUAACAUCAUACUUAUGCUUACCAUAUCAUUUUCAUCCCAAAACAUCAUAAGAAUAAUCUUCAAAAAUAGUCCACACGCCUAGCACAUUAACCUUUAUCGUCAUACUCUUGUUUUUCAUGUUAUCUUCUUCAAUCCACUGAAUUAGCACAUAGAUAAGCUUAACAGCAGCAGCCACAAUAUAAUCUCACUAUUUAUAACAAUUUCCAGCCACAACCAACCAUAUAUAUAGCCUCAACACAGCCCACAAAAAAAAAAAGAUAACGAUUUCUUAUGCCAAUGUCAAUUACUAUCUUGAAGAUUUUAACUCAAACAACACAUGAUUAACCUUAAGCACAACCAAGAACAUGAUUUACGUACCUUAGGCAGCAGAUACAACUUGAAAUUUCAGCCAUAACAACACAUAUAUAUAGCCUUAAAACAACCCAGCAAAAGAUAACAACUCUUCUUCCCCUUUCAAGUGUUAUCUUGUAAUCUUCAUCCAAUAACUUAACCAACACAUAGAUAAUAUUAAUCCCAAGAAAUAGGGUGUUAUACAUACCUUAAAGGCCAACUUUCUACUUGUAUCCAUGAACAACCUCCUCCACGCCUCAAUCAUAAUCACUGGGACACAGGUAUAUGGGUUACGCACUUAUAAGAAACUUGAAGUUCAAUUGCCUUCUUUGUGAAUUUGGGCAAUCGAACUUUGAGAAAAGGAAAUAGUUUUGCUUUGCUGCCGAAAAUAUUCUCAAGCAUCAUGCCCUUUUCAAUUAAAUGAGUUCUACUAAUAUUCUAGUAGUAGUAGAGAAAAGGAAAUAGUUUUACUUUAUUUCCAAAAGUGUCAUGAAACCAUGGAACUUUGGGUUUCUGUAAUCAUCACAUGUGUUACACUUUUGAUUAAAUAUGUUGUCAAGCAUCCAGCUAGCUAACAUAAGAGAACCUCUUCCUUAGGUGUAUCGUGGGGUCCACCCCACUUAUAACUUCCAUGCUUAGCAAGCAUUCUUAUCCCAAAAUGUGACACUACCGUAUCAUUCACACAUAUUAGUUAUACUUUAUUUUUGCUGUCAUGGUCCCACGUGGACAAAACAAUUCAUACACUUAUCCACUUAAAUCAAUAAUUAACCAAUUACCCACAUAAUUAAGAAUUAUCCCAAAUUACUUAAAAUGCUACUCACUUUUAACAUACCUCAUACACCUUACUAUCAUAGUCAUGUGGUACCUUGUAUGACACUAGUCCAUAAAUGUCGGGUAUUAUAGUUCGGACCGUAUUUUAUCCCAAAUUGACAACAUUCAACGAAACUCAUUUUCUUCGAUUCGUUUACCCUCUCACCUUCACGAAUUUAGUAAUCACUUGUUUGAAAUAGCAUAAUACUUAUAACCUCAAAAUAACCUUGUUCUUGAACUGAUGUCAAUUUAUGACAAAUCCAAUGUACAAUACUACGGGGUGCAACAUAGUUGUAAUAUUACGGAGUGUAACAUCAUUCCCCCCUUUUGGAACAUUCGUCCUCGAAUGUUGACUGAUGCACUUAUCGGUCUCAUAAUCGGAUAGCUUUUACGAAUGGUUUUAAUACUGUCCUUGUCAUUUAGGCAACUGUUCUAUGAAUAAAUCCAAUGUCCAGGGCAUUCCCACCUUUAGACCUCUUUCUCACCCCACGGCUUGUGGUCGGAAUUCUUCCAAUCUCGUAACUCUUGCUACUUUCUGUCAUGUAGCUUGUACUACUUCUUCCUUGUAUGUGCGCCUAUUCGAUUCUUCCUCUAGCUUUUAGCCAAUCUCUAGGCCUCACUUUGUGAACAUAUACAGAAUUUUGACAAGCUGUCCCUCUGGGUGUCUAUGGCUUUACUACAUCUAAGUAGAUCAUACUAUACCAUAACUCUUACUUCGAUUUACUGUGAGGUCUGCUACCAAACUCCAUGUUACUCUCGUUGCUUAUCCUAUAUGUAUAAAUCUAAGUCCUUUAAUCCUUUCUCAUUACUGUUCAUCUUAAGAAUGAUGGGCUAAUCUCAUUUCGUACUUUGUAACUUUUAUCCAUCCAUUGUUGAUUUACCUCAAUGUUGAUCUACAAUUUACCACUGAAAACUUUAGACUUCUUACGUAAUACAUUGCCAUUAGGGCUUACGUCUUAUCGGGGGAUAUCUGAAGUGGCUUGCCUAAUCCACCUAGGGGCGAUACUAUGCUUCAAUAACCGUUUUUUUUUUCAUAGCAUUCCAACGUGAUUCAUCUUAUGGGGGGUACUCUAAUCCCGUGCCGUCCAUGAAUUCCUUUUUUUUCCUUCAAAUCAUUACUCAAUCGAAGGCCCAAACGUCAUCCUUUAUCUAUUACAAUUACACCCUUAUUCUACUACAAGGGUUGCAUUUCAUCUCUUCUAAUUGCUCAUAUUCUUAGACUCCUAUGAGUUCGUUCAGACUGUACCGAGCUUUCUAUAACUUAGGGAAACCAUCAGCUCUCUUGUUUUGAUAGUCUUAAUCUCGAGGCCUUACCUGUUCUCGUCACCUUCUCACUCAUAUUUUCAUAACCUUACUCUUGGCUACCUAAACCUUGUCGCUCUAUCAUACCUUAGCUUGCGACUUAUACAUAUAUAUAUUUAUACUACUCGCAAUCUUUUUUUAAAUUGCUAGCACCAUAGAUUUCCUUUCGUGCCUUCUCAGUUGUCUUUAAAUGUAAGCAAUGACUUUUCCUGGUCGUUCUGCCACUUGUUGCAUGAAUACUUGGUUCAUCUUAGUGCCCACAUAUGUAGGAAUUCCAUGCAACCCAUAUGAUCUUGAAUAUCACCUUUUGAUUUUUUUCUUCUUCCCGUUCAUUAGCCACGAUAGGUGCCACUUUCUUAUUGAGUGCAUACAAUGUUGUAGUGGGACUGUUGUUACAAAACCAUUUCUUCUUUAUGUUACUAUGCUUAGGUUGAAGCUUUCUUCCUUAUUUUCUCAGCUAGUCUUUCGGGGUAGUAUAUAGUGGAGACACUCUGACUCUUGUAAAGCUACAAGCUUAUUACAUCGCAUACCCGAAGGAAUCUUUGAUAUUCUUACUCGCCUAUAAUUAUCCUUAGUUGCAUACCUUCGCGCCUUUGUGCUCGUAGGGUUGCUUCUGAACUGAAAUUUUGAAUGUCUCCCCAGUGGUACUCUCUUUUAUUUCCGAAACAAUUAUACAUUACCUUUAACUACCCAACUCCAAUCUGAAAUUCUUUUCAACAAUUGCGAUAUCGUAUCUGCGAGACUGGAUUCCCUAUGUUGGGGUUCACUAUGUAUAUCUUGCACAAUCUGUUGAUUUAUUUGUAUCCUCUUGUCUAGCCAUAACUAGACUCUUCCUGAAUCCACUACAGACUACUCGUUGGUCCAUUCUCAUAUCUAUAUUCUGCGUAACCCCUUUUGGGUUAUGUCAUUUGCCUUAACUUACCUCUCGUACUGACUCCUUAUGUAUCGAGUGCUCAUUCCCACUUAUUUAUCAGUAUUAUCUGGUGCGGAACCCUUACUGCCUCUCCCCGGUGUCAUGCUUGCAUAAUGUUCUGGAGUCGUAUCAUAUCUGUAGGAUCUGAAUAAAUGCAAUCUCAUUCCUUUCACCUUUUUACCGUAUUCUUUAUUUACUAUUCCAUAGUUACUUCUUCAUUUUUGGCUUCUUUUUAUAUAUUUACUGACAUCUUACCCGCCUUGCAGUAACCCUUCUGUACCAAGGAUAACUAAAGUUCUUAGGCACGAGGGUGACACUUAGUGUAACUGGCACACUUAGUCCCUUAAGCUUAACUCUGCUCACCGUGCAUGCUUUAGAGAAACGUCUUCCUGAAUGAACUUUAAAGGUUAUUUUUCUGUUGUCCAUUCUAUUAUCGCUGGAACGUGAUCUCUAAAAUUCUCACGAUACCGACUAUUAUAACAUCCUUCGGUCCCUUAUUCAUGUUCAAUUUAUCUUGUUCACCAGCCCAUACUGAUUUCUAUUACUCUGGGGGUCUAACUUUUCCUUCUGGUAAUCAUGUUGGAGUCACCAACUCGUUUCUCGAAAUGGGGAUAUGACUUUAUGGCGUAUACUCUUUUAUUGUUUUAAGGCAUGUUUCUUCUUGUCUUUUCUUUCACUUGACUAUAAGUCUAUCAUCGUGUCAUAUUUUGAUUUACCGUACAUCUUACCCGCCUUGCAGUAACCCUUCUGUACCAAGGAUAACUAAAGUUCUUAGGCACGAGGGUGACACUUAGUGUAACUGGCACACUUAGUCCCUUAAGCUUAACUCUGCUCACUGUGCAUGCUUUAGAGAAACGUCUUCCUGAAUGAACUUUAAAGGUUAUUUUUCUGUUGUCCAUUCUAUUAUCGCUGGAGCGUGAUCUCUAAAAUUCUCACGAUGCCGACUAUUAUAACAUCCUUCGGUCCCUUAUUCAUGUUCAGUUUAUCUUGUUCACCAGCCCAUACUGAUUUCUAUUACUCUGGGGGUCUAACUUUUCCUUCUGGUAAUCACGUUGGAGUCACCAACUCGUUUUUCGAAAUGGGGAUAUGACUUUAUGGCGUAUACUCUUUUAUUGUUUUAAGGCAUGUUUCCUCUUGUCUUUUCCUUCACUUGACUAUAGACUCCAUCAUCGUGUCAUAUUUUGAUUUACCGUUGUCACCCAUAUAUCACAUCUUACUCAUGAUGCUUCAUUUACUCUCUUCUUAUUCUCCAGAUAAUAUUUUUGUCUAUCACUUUAUUAUGAAAACUUCAACAGAACGUUCUUUCACUUUUAGCUCCCCUUGCUUCACCUCACUGGCUCUUCGGAAUGCCUAACAUUCGCCUUUUUUUUUUACUCGGAGUUGGAGUCAUGCUAAGAAAAAUAUUUAUCCCUUCUAGGAUUCCACUGCCUAUCUUGUGAAAUGUCUGAAAAUUGUAGUAUUCAUAUCUAACUGUACUAUUCUAGAGUUCACCAUCUGGGUGUCUCACAAGGAGAUCUAUUACCACAUUUGCACUAUCUUUGGAAAGGUUAGCUAAUGAUAACAAUCCAUCCACCAUUAUUGGGUUACUCUAACCCCAGUUGGAUCCUGAUAUCCCGUCCUUCUCUUAAACCAUAUCUGUUAGCUCCUAUAGGGCAUAACUGAGAUUGGUGUGGCCGAUUGUACAUACAUCUGUUAUUGUUGAAGGUAACUUAAAAGGCUAUAGUAUUACAACUAUGUUACACCCCAUAGUAUUGUACGUUGGAUUUGUCAUAAAUUGACAUCAGUUCAAGAACAAGGUUAUUUUGAGGUUAUAAGUAUUACGCUAUUUCAAACAAGUGAUUACUAAAUUCGUGAAGGUGAAAGGGUAAGCGAAUCGAAGAAAAUGAGUUUCGUUGAAUGUUGUCAAUUUGGGAUAAAAUACGGUCUGAGCUAUAAUUCCCGUCAUUUAUGGACUAGUGUCAUACAAGGUACCACAUGACUAUGAUAGUAAGGUGUAUUAGGUAUGUUAAAAGUGAGUAGCAUUUUAAGUAAUUUGGGAUAAUUCUUAAUUAUGUGAGUAAUUGGUUAAUUAUUGAUUUAAGUGGAUAAGUGUAUGAAUUGUUUUGUCCACGUGGGACCAUGACAACAAAAGUAAAGUAUGACUAAUAUGUGUGGAUGAUACGGUGGUGUCACAUUUUGGGUUAAGAAUGCUUGCUAAGCAUGGAAGUUAUAAGUGGGGUGGACCCCACGAUACACCUAAGGAAGAGGUUCUCUUAUGUUAGCUAGCUGGAUGUUUGACAACAUAUUUAAUCAAAAGUGUAACACAUAUGAUGAUUACAGAAACCCAAAGUUCCACGGUUUCAUUACACUUUUGGAAAUAAAGUAAAACUAUUUCCUUUUCUCUACUACUACUACUAGAAUAUUAGUAGAACUCAUUUAAUUAAAAAGGGCAUGAUGCUUGAGAAUAGUUUCGGCAAUAAAACAAAACUAUUUCCUUUUCUCAUAGUUCGAUUGCUCAAAUUCACGAAGAAGGCAAUUGAACUUCAAGUUUCUUAUAAGUGCGUAACUCAUAUACAUGUUUCCCAGUGAUUAUGAUUGAGGCGUGGAGGAGGUUGUUCAUGGAUACAAGUAAAAAGUUGGCCUUUAAGGUAUGUAUAACACCAUAUUUCUUGGGAUUAAUAUUAUUUAUGUAUUGGUUAAGUUAUUGGAUGAAGAUUACAAGAUAACACUUGAAAGGGGAAGAGGAGUUGUUAUCUUUUGUUGGGUUGUUGGGUUGUUUUAAGGCUAUAUAUAUAUAUAUAUAUAUAUAUAUAUAUAUAUAUAUAUAUUAUAUGUGUUGUUAUGGCUAAAAUUUCAAGUUGUAUCUACUGCCUAAGGUAUGUAAAUCAUGUUCUUGGUUGUGCUUAAGAUUAAUCAUAUGUUGUUUGAGUUAAAAUCUUCAAGAUAGUAAUUGACAUGGCAUAAGGAAUCAUUUUUUUUUUGUGGGCUGUGUUGAGGCUAUAUAUAUGGUUGGUUGUGGCUGGAAAUUGUUAUAAAUAGUGGGAUUAUGUUGUGGUUGUUGCUGUUAAGCUUNNNNNNNNNNNNNNNNNNNNNNNNNNNNNNNNNNNNNNNNNNNNNNNNNNNNNNNNNNNNNNNNNNNNNNNNNNNNNNNNNNNNNNNNNNNNNNNNNNNNNNNNNNNNNNNNNNNNNNNNNNNNNNNNNNNNNNNNNNNNNNNNNNNNNNNNNNNNNNNNNNNNNNNNNNNNNNNNNNNNNNNNNNNNNNNNNNNNNNNNNNNNNNNNNNNNNNNNNNNNNNNNNNNNNNNNNNNNNNNNNNNNNNNNNNNNNNNNNNNNNNNNNNNNNNNNNNNNNNNNNNNNNNNNNNNNNNNNNNNNNNNNNNNNNNNNNNNNNNNNNNNNNNNNNNNNNNNNNNNNNNNNNNNNNNNNNNNNNNNNNNNNNNNNNNNNNNNNNNNNNNNNNNNNNNNNNNNUAGACGUAAGAUCAUAUUGAGCUUGGUUGACGAUUGGAGAGAAGAUUGCAAAGGUAUGUUAAGGCUAUCCCUUCUUUCUUUUUGGCAUGAUCCAAAUGAUACAAAUGAAAUGAGCAAAAUACGCAACUUUCAUAAACGAUUCUAUUUACAGAAAUACUAAGGGUGUCUAUAUUCUUGAUUCCCCAUGUGUCUUAUUAUUCUAUCAUUUGUUCAUGGGUCUCAGAAAAUACGUAAGUUGAUAAAGUUUAUUUCACGAUAUUAAUCAAAGGCAUAAUGGUGUUAUGACAUUCCGAGAGAUUUUAUUAACGUACUUCUCAUGCAUUCCAUUCCUUUACAUUGACCCAUGACCUGAUGGCGUUAUAUACGCGUAUAUAUGUAUAUUAUAUAUAUAUAUGGGAUAUGGAAAAAGGUUACGGCAUUAUAUACGCACCACCACCUGAUUUGCUGGUAUACGUUGAUGAUUUGCCCACAGUGGCCGAGAUGAUAUGAUGGGAUGCCCUCAGAGGCUUGAUGUUGUCAUGAAUGCAUAUACCUAAGCAUGAUAUGACAUUUAUACGCAUAUGCAUGACAUUGUAAAUAAUAAUGAUUCACAGAGUUAUUCAGGCUUACAUGUUGAGUCUUUUACUCCAUGUUUCUCUCAUGUCUAUUAUUUACUGAUUUUCAUUCCUUACAUACUCGGUAUAUUAUUUGUACUGACGUUCCUUUGCCUAGGGAUGCUGCGUUUCAUGCCCGCAGGUCUCGAUAGACAGGUUGAGAGCCCUCCAAGUAGACUAUCAGCUCAGUGGAAGAUGUUGGUGCGCUCCAUUUGCUCCGUAGUUGUUAUUUGGUCAGUAUGAUUAGGACAUGUAUUGAUUGGUAUGGCAGGGCUCUGUCCUGACCUUUAUGACAAUUAUGUAUUCUUAGAAGCUUAUAGACAGAUGUCGUGUGUACGGAUACUUGUAUGGCCUUGUCGGCCUAUGUUUUGAGUUUAUAAAUGAUCACGUUGGCCUUAUAGGCCCGUAUGUCACGUGUAUAAGUUUUUAUAUCAGGUUGGGUCGUUCUAUGUCGGGUAUUCCCUCAUGUUUACUCUGUUUAUCUCAUGAUGCCCCUUCUGGCCCACUUACAUUAUAGUAUGAUAAGAAUGAUACGUUACGUUGGUACUCGGUUGAUGUAGGCAUCGGGUGCCCGUCGCGGCCCUACGGUUUGGGUCGUGACAGGCAUUAUAGACAUCCAUUUGAUGAAUAUGCCAACCGUCAGCUGCAGCCUGCAGCAAUAGAAACUACAGCUCUAACAGUUUCUAUCUUCACCACUGGGGAGAAGGUUUCAUGAAAAUCAAGCCCUUCCCUUUGAUUGUAACUCUUGGCCACAAGCCUAGCUUUGUACCUUUCUACAGUGCCAUCUGCCUUGUACUUUACUUUGUACAUCCAUUUGCAACCUAUUGACUUCUUCCUUGUUGGCAAUUGCACCAACUCCCAGGUCUUAUUAUCUUCAGGAGCUUGAAUUUCAGCUCUCAUAGCUUCAAUCCAUAACUUGUCUUGGGAAGCUUCAUGAAAGGAUCUUGGUUCAAUUACUGCAGAGAAAGCCUGCAAGUAUGCUUGAUAAGUUGGCUUCAAGUUGGAGUAACAUACUGAAUUGCUAAUGGAAUAAGGUUUUUGCUGUGAGGGAAUGACAUAAUCUGUCAUCCAUAUUGGCACUCUCUUAUCUCUGCUAGAUCUUUUGAGCUCUUGUGGAGGUGGUAAAUUAUCUGUGAUGAAGCAGUUGUGUCAGCACUAUGUGGAGCAACUUCAUGAGUGUCAGGUGGUUGAGUUGAUGCUGCAGGAAGAUGACUCUCAUGUGGCAUGUCUGGAUAUGCUGUGUGUGGAGCACUCAUAUCUGUUGGGGAUAUUUCCUCCUGUGCUAUGUCAAUAUCUGCGAUUGAAUCCACUUCUGCAUCUAGAAGCUGUUUAGGUUGCUCCUGACUUUCAACCUCUAAAAACAUAUGGUUUAUGUGUGGUUGCUCCAUUCUGAAUGGAAAUAUAGUCUCUUUGAAAGUGACAUCUCUGUUAGUAAAAGAAUUGUGCUUGGACAGAUCAUAUAGAAUGUAUCCCUUUGUAACAGAAGAGUAUCCCAUGAAAGUUGCUGCAAUUGCCCUGGCUUCAAAUUUAUCAUGUACAUUCAUCCUCUUGGCAUAACAUAAACACCCCAGUGUCCUCAUAUGGUCAAGAGAAGGCUUCUUCCUGUGAAAUACUUCAAAUGGGCUUUUACUUUCCAAAGCACUAGAAGGUAAUCUAUUGAUGAUAUACACAGCAGUUAGGAUGCAAUGACCCCAAAAUCUUAUUGGAAUUGAACCCUGAAACCUUAAUGCUCUUGCAAUUUCAAGGACAUGUCUGUGUUUUCUCUCAGCAAUGCCAUUUUGCUGAGGUGUAUACACACAUGUUCUUUGAUGAACUAUUCCAAAAGAUUGGAAUAGUGAGUUGCAUUCACCAUUAAAAAACUCUGUCCCAUUGUCAGUUCUUACUAUCUUGAUGCACCUGUCAAACUGUGUUUUUACAAGCUGAAUAAAAUUUCUCAGAAUCACAACCACAUCACUUUUUAACUUCAGCAAAUACACCCAACAUAUCCGGGAAUGAUCAUCUACAAUAGUAACAAAGAGUUUAUUGUCAUCAUAUGUUUGUACACUAUAUGGUCCCCAUACAUCAAUAUGUAUCAAAUAAAAAUUGCUUCUGCUCUACUAGUACUAGAGCUAAAUGGCAGCCUAGCAUGCCUAGCUAAUGGACAUAUAGAACAAUCCUCUAAUUCUUUCUUACAAUCAUCAUAUCCUAAUGAAAAAGUUUGUUUUAUUGCUCCUGCUGAGGCAUGUCCAAGCCUUUUGUGCCACAAUCUUACAUCCAAUUUUUCUAUUCUACUAGACAAACCAGUUGUUUUAUUCUUCUCUUUCUCCAGUAGUUUGAGGUAGUAUGUAGAGGCCAUCAUCCUCCCUACUAAUCGCUCUCACCUCCCCAUUGCAGAGGCCCUGGAACACAAAGAAAUCGGGGAAGAAGCAAACUGAGCAAUUCAAUGCUCUUGUGAUUUUUGCUACAAAUAACAAAUUGUACUUAAAGUCAGGAAUGUAUAGAAUAUUAUCUAUUGUUCCUGCUUGUCCCAAUCUGCAUGAUCCUAUGUGUUACCUGUGCAACCUCUCCAUUAGGUAAAUGAACCUUCCUGGUCUUAUUUCUAUUUACUUCUUGUUUCUUAUCCAGCAUGUUUAUAUCUGAGACCAUAUGAUUUGUUGCACCAUUGUCAACUAUCCAAACCUUUUCUUUGAUAUCUGCUAAAAAGGCAUUAAUACUACCUGCACUAUCUGCCAUGUUUGCUGAUGUUUCAGGUAGAGUUUCCUUGUUGAGCAGCUUCAGGAUCUGAUUGUACUGUUAUGAGGCAAAGUGUGGUGCAAUGUACUGUUUUGGUGUAUUAGCAGCUAUGUUCUUGUCUGCUCCAGUCUCCUGUGGUUUAUGUUCCUCAACGAUGGCAUUGUUUGCCAUGUUACCCCCAAACCUCUUCUUAUAUUUGAAGUUAGCCGGAUAACCAAUCAACUUGAACUUCCUUCACGAGUGUGCCCCUUCAUCUUACAGUAGUCACAUGUGACAUUAUAAUUCUUUUUGAACCUCUGAGUGUUGACAUUUCCUCCAUUGCCACCUCUUGUGGUCAUUAAUGCUGUGACUUCCAAGUUUUCAGUGGCAACAGAAAUAUAAGACAUAGUCCUCUGACUUUCCUUGUCAAUUAGAAUAGAAUAGGCCUUGUUAACCGAAGGAAUUGGGUCCAUCAUCAAAAUCUGGCCCCUUGCAUGUUCAUAUGUUUCAUUUAAUCCCAUCAGAAAUUGCAGAUGUUUUUGUUGCCUCAUGAAUGCAACAAAAUCCCUAGACUUCUCACAAUCACUCAGGAGUUGGAGCUAAGCUGUCAAACUCCGUCCAAAGUGAUCGAAAUUUUGAGUAGUAGGUCACAAUAGCGUUGGUUUCCUGACUCACGGUAGCAAUCUCCUUGUGCAACCGGAAAAUGCGAGAACCAUCAACCUUGUCAAACCUUUCCUUCAGAUCCUUCCAGACCACAUAUGCAUUGGAGGAAUACACAAUUCCACUGAGUAACUCCGGUGAUACGCAAUUCAUAAUCCACGAAAACACAAUUGCGUUGCACCUCCCCCACAGAUCAACCAAAUUUGGACCGUAAUUUUCUCGCUUGCAACUGCCAUUGAUGAACCCUAGCUUGUUACGCCCUAGGAUCGCAAUUCGCAUCGCUCUACUCCAGACGGAAUAGUUCUCUGUUCCAGUCAAUUGCAAGGAUAUCAACACAGUUCCAGAAUUGUCCGUCGAUUGCAAAAAAAAGUGGGUGAUUAUGGCUCAAUUUUUCCGGCAACUCAUUAUCGAUGUUGUCCGCCAUUAAUGAGUUUCGAUGAAGUACGUUUUCAGUAAUUCAAUUUCUCAGAGAGACCAUAUAAAUGGCCGUAUGCUCUAAUACCAUGUCAAAGUUUAAGCAGAAGAGAUGAAUUGAGAGUUCAACAAAUGGAGGAUCGAAUGUUCUAGAGAGAGUCGGUGGAGAGAAUUUUCACUUUCUUAUUUUCAUCUUAUCUGUCUGUACACAAUACAAUGCUUAUAUAGAAGAUGACUACUACUCACUAACUAACAAUUACAUAGCUAAGCUCAACAUAAUUAACUAUAUUGUCAACCCACUAACCGUCUAACUAACCAAUCCAAUUGACAGCUAACUGCCAGCUAACUACCUCACACAAGUUGCACGUGUUAUGUGACACUUCCACUCUCAAUAGCAAGCCAAUAAGAUUCUGUGACAAUUUAUAUCACUUUGGCAUCGGUCACGGUGUUGUUUGAUGAAUUAACGAUCUUCAAUUAGAGAACGCCAUGAUUUGCAAACAAGUUUGAACUUUCCAGGUGAUUUGACAGGAAGCUUUAGCAGUAUAUCGACGACGAUAUCAUCGGGAAAGUUAUUCAUUCUAACAGCUAAAAGAUUUUGGGUUUGAGCUUCUGUUUGUUUUGUUCGACAGAAUUAAUGUCCUAAAUAUAGGGUUUAAUAUAAGUGAAGCAAGAAAACUAUUAACGCUGCCUUUUUUUCCUUUUUUUGGUGGAAGAAGGAUUCUCAACAUCUAACCUUUUUAAUUCGUUUACCCAACUUUGUCAUGUCGCAUGUUUUUGCUUUUUCCUAGCUAGUGGGAGUAGGAUUUCAAUUUUACCUUCCUUUUCUUGUUUUAUUGGAUUGAACCAAUAUUUCUUCCGUCACACCUGAAACAUUUGCUGAUUUUCUUUCACAGCCUUAUCAAUUUGCUUAAAUAGUUUCCACCAAUUCCAACAUAUUAACCAAGUUCCUUACUUCCUCAUGUAAGUAUAUCUACUGUGAGUAUAAUUCUAAAAUACUAACAAAUGAAGAAUUAAGAAAAAAUUGCACUUGUAUCUUAAAUAAGGUUGAGAGUAGCAUGGUUCAAUAUUCAAUAGAAGAACGAAAUAUAUCAAUCGCACAUGACAUAAAUAAUAUAUGACAAUUUAUUCAAACUUCCUCGAAACAAAGGUGAUUUCUAUAGCAGGCAAGGAAACGCGAAGAUUGACUUACAAAAUUAUGUGUUAAUAUUAUGCAGAAAGUUCUAGAAAAUUCAAUCAAUACUGCAUCACAAUUCCAAAUUAGUUGAGAUCCAUUAUAUAAUUUUGUCUUUAUUCCAUUUUAUUCAAACCACAUCAACAUAAAUGACAUUGAUAAUAAAGGUGGAAAAAUGCAAAACCAGCGGACAAAUUUGAGGAGAGCAUGAGAAAGUAUUAGGAUAUCUUUCCACUGUAAUCUUUGUACAGGCUUUAAUGCAUGAAAUAAAUGGCGAGUUCUGCUUUUUUCUAAGAAUAUUAAUCUACAUUUUAGUUGCUAUGUUAGAAAAACAAAGAAUACAACAUUUAUAUAGGAGUAGUUAGGGGCUCGGAUUAAAUCGAAAAUCCAAACCGAACAAAACGGAAUUUUAAUUUGGAUUGUUUUGCGAUGCUAAUGCUCCAAUUUCCUACCAUGGCAGGUGAUGAUCUACUCUUCUUCUUCACUGAUGGCUUACAAAAUUGGGCAAAACAAGAGCUCUAACGCCAUAAGGCCAAGGACAUCGAUGAAACCAUCGUAGGGGCUGAGUCUUUGACUGAAUAUAAGGCCAAGGGGCAUAAGGGAAGAGAUCACAACGGUAAAGCUAUCAAAGGUGAGAUAUCCUAGAGAAGGGUUAUUUAUGUACAAACAGGAUUUGCUUUAUAGUGUAUCUCAACAAGAAUUUAUUACACUGCAAUAAUCUUUUAGAUGGCUUCUAUCUAUUUUACAACAGCGGAAUUACCAGGAGCACUUUAAAUUAUAGUGAGGUUCUAUAAUUGUAAUUCAGAAACAAAGACUAGCACAACAAUGUGAGACAUGGAAUCUACCUACCUAGUAGAAUUGGAUGGUGCCAUGGACAAAGCUCGACUGGACCGCACUUUAGAUAAAUGAAGCUCAGGCUGCAUUUCUUCUCAACAACCUUAGCAACAAAAUCCUUCUCCAGCCAAGUGUCCCGAGUCUUCACGUUUUAUUAUCAACAAUCUCCGGAAGGCUCUUCAGUGCCUUUGGUGGAAAAAGAGAUUUAUACCAACGAAGAGAGAAAGAAAGAAAAGAUUAUGAAAUGAUGAUUAAACCAUGAUUUUUACUGCUGACCUGAUACAAGUACCAGGAAACAAAGGCAUCCGUAGCAGCAUAAUAUAGUUUUUCCUUAGAUAACUCAUUUGCCUCCCAAUUUCCCAGCCUGAUCUUACUUGGCUUGGGGAGCUGCAAGAACAAGAAAAUCUCCGUUGAAUCUCACACUUAAUUGCAAGAAAAGAAAGAAUUCUAAUUGAAGGAAACAAAACUAGAAAGAUUUACAGGGAGUAGCAGCAUAUCAUAAUUACUCCUAAUAUAGUAAGUCAAUUGUCUUUCCAGCAAGACUUUACACUCAAAAUAUGCACAUACGUCCAGCUGAUGAGGUAGCAUUUCUACUUGGUUUCUUCUCUAAACAGUUGCAAAGGUUGAAGUUCUCUGCGUAUACUUUAACAAGUCAACUAAGUAAAACUCAGUCUAUCGAUACAAAACAGGCUCAGCAGCCCUACAAAACUGGAAUAAAGCAAGAAACCAAUCCCCAAUUCCCCCUCUUCCCUCCCAACCCCCCAGCAGUUCAAGGAUCUUAAAUGGCGGCAACGAAAAACACAAAAUAAAGUAAAAUAGUAAUAGAUAUGAUUGAAACAGAAACCAAAAGAAAACCUGCUUGGCAAGAAGCUUCUCAGUUAGUGAUGCUAGACUCCAUUUCUUGGGCUCUUCAUCAAACUUUUUGUUGGCGAGUUCAGAAAGAUCUUCCAAAGUCUUUACAGAUACAUUGUGAUCUAGGGAAACUUUGUAAGCAUCAUGUGCAAUGCACACACCCACCUAUUGAUUAAUUGGAACACUAACAAGUUAAGAAACCAUAUCCUAUUAUUGUUUGAUAAAUGUUCCUGAAAAAUGAACAAGCGUCAACCUUCAGAAUUGUUGGGUCCUCAAGAAGAGAUUGCAGAGUUUGAGGGAUUCCGGAGUGAAUAAUAUGCAGAACGUAACAACUACUCAUGUCGCCACAUAUCUGCAUAACAGCAGCCUUCCCAGGUGCCACACCUGAAGAAAGCACCUAUUAUUAUGUAAUGAGCGAUACUAGGGUGCAAUUUCACAAAUAAGGACAGUGAAAUGAAGUACAAAAUCCAAUUAAUUAAGUACGUGACAACCGAAACAAAAGGUCAUGAGGAGUUAUAUGUGCCUUCUUAUACUAAAGAGUAUGCUUAAGUAACAAAAGUAUGACACACAAGAAGUGAUGCCAAAUAGGGAAUAAAUGAUGCAAAGAUCACCUAUAAGAACGGUAUUUAGCGUCCACUAAUUAUUCUUUUUGAGCAUAAAAAAGAAUAAUCUCUCAAUCAAAUAUUUUGGCAAAAAUAAAUAUAGAGAAAAUAAGUCUUCCUAAUCACCAUGAGCUACAUAGGAUUCUUGGUAGAUAUCCUAGUUAAGAUGCAGACGUAAUCACUAAGGUCCAAUGAAUUGUCUGUUUUCUAAAAGCACCUUUGUCAUCAGCACUGGAAACCAAGAAUCUUAGCUAUCAAAUUCUAUACACUCUCAUUCCUCCAAGCAGACGACAAUUGAUAAAGUGACAUGGAUAUUGAAGAUUCAUAUAUCCAGCUCCGACUAGCUUUGGUUGAAGCAUAGUAGUUAUCGUUGUCGUUGUAGACAACAGCAGAUCAAGUAAAUUUCCUUAAAAUCACGUGAUGAACUAUCAAAAUUCAUCAAGUGUCAUAACAAACUAGCAGUCAAAAAAUGACACAUUCCAUUUAACACCGCAGGGAUGGUACUUCAGAAAAAAAUUCACAAGUUAUAACUUACACAUGACAGUCAAAAAAUGACACAUUCCAUUUAACACCGCCUCAAAUGAAGCUUAGUAUAAAUAAAUUUAAAAGCUAGUACACUGAAAGACUGAUAGAACUCAAGAAUUCCCAUCGUAGUUUGCAAAGUUCAUAUAAAAGUCAAACUAUUAACAUUGAACUGACCUUUUCUAAAACUGGGCUUCCACUCAAUGUCAAAUCCAAGAGCAACAUGCCCUUCUUUCCUCUUCUUUUCCUCGACAAAAUUUAAAAGCUCUACUGCAGAUUUCUCCACUUCUUUAGUAGUUCUGCUAUAUAUAACAUGUCCUUUAAAUGAUAUUUCCGGGUAUUGCAUCACUAUCUUAGCUGCUACAUCACAAACAAAAAAUAAAACGAAACUUGGACAUUAAAUCCUUAUUUAAAAUUUAACAACCAUCUUUAAUACACAACAGUAACAACCGUUAUUAAUUUCCCCCAAAUUUAAUAGAAUUUCACCAUGAGAUCUUCAUAAGAUAGGUAAACUUUGGAGCAAUAACCGUAUGCCAAACUGAUUACAAUGUGCUACAAUAGGAAUAACAUUAGUUCGAUAUAAAUCAUCCCAUUAAGGGUUAAAUAGAUUUUUCUAAAGUUUAAACUAUUUCUAUAUAUAGAAAUAUGUCAUUCUUUAUUAAACAUGCUAAAAAUGAAGAGUGUAUAUUCACCGUCAUUGUAAGAAAUUUUGUUACACUGUAUCAGGUCACCCAAAAGAUAUCUACAAAUCCGACAUCUAACAAUUACAGUGUAUAUCAUAUUACAUUCUACUAAAUUUAUACUAACUCAAAUUAGAACAUGAUUUUUUUUUAUUUGCAACCAAAAAUCAUUACUCCAGAAAAACAUUUAACUACAAUGAAAGGGAAUAAAAAAAAGAGAGAGAAAAGCCGUUACCUUGAGUAGAAGAACGAAAGGAAUAACUACACUGAGACCGACUUCUAGUGCAAGAAGACAAAGACGACAUUGAAUUAGUAGCUUCAUUUUGGAAGUUAAAAACAAAAAGCGAUUCCGGCAAUCUCCGGCGACUUUUCCGGCGAUAUUCGUCGCCAUCGCCGGCGGAAGAUGAGUCUUCGGAAUUCUGAAGCCUUUUAGUAGCUGAUUGAAAUGCAACUUCGAUUUCCUGGAGUUCUUCUUCUGUAAAAGGUCGAUCCCAAUCGUUUGAUUCGCUAGAAAUUGGGGUUUCCAUUUUAUAUAUUUAUUGCUAAAAAGAGUACAGAAGAAUUUUCUUUUCAGCUAAAUAGCGGGCAUGUUUGAGCUUUUGAUUUUUAUAUUUCUUAUAAUUACAUUAUCCUCCCUUGUUGUUUUGUUAUGGUUUGACAGACCACCCAAUAUAACUUUAAAAUUACACUUUCCACCCUAUACUCUAGUGUUAAGAAUUUCAAUUUUUUCUUGGGUAUUAGAAUGAGAUAGAUCAAAAUUGAACAAAAUUGGAUGUUAAAGAUUCAUAUAAUCGAGCUUAAUUAGAUUGGGAUUUGCUGUAGUUAUUAUUGUGCACUUACUCUACCUUUGUAUUUUAAAGAAUGAACAUCGAUUUUCACUUACUCGUAAUGUAACUGGAAUUUCCAGCUCAUAAGUUGGACAUUGGAUUCUAUCAAUUAUGAAAGUACUUUCGAAAUUAUAAACACACCGAAAUUGUAGGUAAAGAAUACAAUUGACAAAAGAUUUGCAAUUGACAAUAGAAAGAAAUACAAACAACAUUACAAGUAUAACUCAGUACUAUAAAAAUAAAAAAGUUCACUAUAUACAUAAUCAAUAUUUUGUACCAUAAAUGUUUGAGGCAAAUUUUGACACAUUAGACAAUAUAACCUUCUUCCCUGAAUAGAAAAAACCUAUUCUAACUCUUACAACAACAAUAAUAAUUAUAUUAUAUUUUUCAAUUCUCUGCAAGUUGCGGUCGACUAUAUAAAUCUUCACUAAUCAUCUGCUCCAUUCAAGUUCAUGAUCUCAUACCAAUAUUAUAGUACAAAAUAUAUAUUUAUUAUUGUAUGUCAAAGUAUAUAUGACAUACCUCUUACAUUUGAGACAACAAACAAUUGUUGAAUCACACACAUUAAAUUUUCAAGAAAAAUCACUUAAUGUGGGGUACUAGCUGCAACAAUUUUAAGAAUAUCUAAAGGGAUAUUAAUAAAUUUAACUAAAGCAUUACGUGCAUUAGCAACCUCUGCAAUAUGAUUAUCAGCAUAAUCUUCAACAUCAACAGAAUUAGCAGUUCUCAUUGCCUUAAGACGAGGAUAACAAACUUCAAAAUCUGUUAUGGCAGUUGUAUAGUAUUUAAUCGCAUCGUUAAACGCGCCAUUAACAGUAGAAUCAACAGCGUCAUUAAUU